UUACAUAUCCCCAAAUAAGGACUACUUAGGCGCUGCACCUACCUUCCCCCCCAGCUUUUAACCGGACAGGAGAGAGUCCACACUUGGUGUUUGAGCUUCCAUUGCACUGUAAUCAUCUUACAUAUAUACCUUUAUGGCCCUUAGCUGGACAGGUGAAGGGAGAUACAUACAAGGACCCUUGACAACAGACAUGUAAAUCUGGACCUGUAGCAACUGGACUCUUUCUUUUCUCCUUGGAGACUGACAUAAUCAUGGUGGAGAUGGACAUGAGUGACUCCCAUAGGACAGGCCACAUUCUGAGAGUAGGAAAAACUGCCCAAAGCUGGCAGUAAUCCUAACACGGCACACUUGCCCAUAGCCUAUGGACUAGCUAGGCCUGCAAAAUAAGCAGCUUUGGAGGGGUUGAAACCAACCUAGAGAGAGAUGACUUGACUAGAAGGUCCACAUGGACAUCUGCAGAUUCCUCAUUCCACUUUCUGAGAAAGAAAAGUUGCAUUGGUUCCAAG
Pelobates cultripes (western spadefoot toad) is the source of this 506-nucleotide non-coding RNA. NCBI's taxonomy places the organism in Eukaryota, Metazoa, Chordata, Amphibia, Anura, Pelobatidae. The record is from the annotation of a GenBank genome assembly.